CACCGCCGCUGCGUCCG
RNAcentral lists this unclassified non-coding RNA (17 nucleotides) under Chlamydomonas reinhardtii. RNAcentral's name for it is "small RNA Cre_0877". Lineage: Eukaryota; Viridiplantae; Chlorophyta; Chlorophyceae; Chlamydomonadales; Chlamydomonadaceae. The record is from RNAcentral.